CGGGAUGUAGCGCAGAUGGUAGCGUUUCUGUUUUGGGAACAGAAGGUCGCAGGUUCAAAUCCUGUCAUUCCGA
RNAcentral lists this transfer RNA (73 nucleotides) under Prototheca stagnorum. Its description in RNAcentral is "tRNA-Pro". It matches the Rfam family "tRNA". Rfam says of the family: Transfer RNA (tRNA) molecules are approximately 80 nucleotides in length. Their secondary structure includes four short double-helical elements and three loops (D, anti-codon, and T loops). The record is from RNAcentral. RNAcentral also lists the same sequence under 1 other name. Lineage: Eukaryota; Viridiplantae; Chlorophyta; Trebouxiophyceae; Chlorellales; Chlorellaceae.